GACGAACGCUGGCGGCGUGCUUAACACAUGCAAGUCGAGCGGUAAGGCCCUUUUGGGGGUACACGAGCGGCGAACGGGUGAGUAACACGUGGGUGACCUGCCCUCAGCUCUGGGAUAAGCCUGGGAAACUGGGUCUAAUACUGGAUAUGACCUUUCCUCGCAUGGGGUUGGGUGGAAAGUUUUUCGGCUGGGGAUGGGCCCGCGGCCUAUCAGCUUGUUGGUGGGGUGAUGGCCUACCAGGGCGACGACGGGUAGCCGGCCUGAGAGGGCGAUCGGCCACACUGGGACUGAGACACGGCCCAGACUCCUACGGGAGGCAGCAGUGGGGAAUAUUGCGCAAUGGGCGGAAGCCUGACGCAGCGACGCCGCGUGGGGAUGACGGCC
RNAcentral lists this ribosomal RNA (384 nucleotides) under uncultured bacterium. Its description in RNAcentral is "bacterial SSU rRNA". It matches the Rfam family "Bacterial small subunit ribosomal RNA", at positions 28 to 416 of the family's 1533-position model. The record is from RNAcentral.